UUUUCUAAGUUCAGCUUUCGGUAUUAUGCCAUUCAAGUACCAGUUUAGCAAAAACAAGAAAAAUCCGCGAAACGAUCCUCCGAUGGAUGUAAGCGUAAUUAAAUUAAUCGUGGCAGUAAUUUUGCUCGUAAUUACCAUAGUUCAUGGCGUUUCGGCUCCUCUGUACGUAUUACAUACCAGCUUACCAGAAACUUAUCGCGAUGGUAUAUUUGCUUUCGAGUCGUUUAUCGAUGGAAAUAUAACUACCGAAGACAUCGACCGAGAAACCAAACAGUCGUUGAUUAUGAAAAUCCUGAAUCCUUUACUGGUUACUUUGAUGAGCGCGAGUGCUCGUAUCGUGGCCAUUUUUUCAUUACGAACCGGUUUAAGACAGUUUUUUUCCGACGUAAAAGAAGCUGAUAAAUUUCUCAGGCAUAUUAAAAAUUACGAAAUCAUGGUGAACACGAGAAGACACCUGAAUUAUAGUAUAGGUCUAUCUGUUUCAUUCGUACUGCUUAGUUUUCCCAUCAAUUGUUUUUAUUUGAUCAAUGUCUCAGCCACCAAUAAUCAAUUUGGUGUGGUAUGGUGUGCUAUCUUGGUUUGGUCCAAUUUGACAGGAUUUUGUAGCGAUAUUUUGUUCGUAUUUUGCGCGUAUCUUAUUCGACUGAGGUUCAGAGUGAUCAACGAAACACUGAGUAAUUUAAUUGAGGAGGAAAAUUAUGCGACGACGUUUCAGUUUUCGACCAAUUUCAAACGUGAUUUUUCCAAAAGAAGAGCUUGGUGUAUUCCAGAAAAUGCCCUUGCGAAUUAUAGCAUCUUUAAGUAUAAGAAUAAUCUCCAAAAAGAUAUAGUAUUCGGAAAUGAUCUUGCUGAUACCAUCGAAGUCUACAGAUACUGCCAUCGUUUACUCUGUGAACUCGUCAGAUAUCUGAAUAAAAUGUACAAGUUGCAUUUACUCAUGACUUUGGCUGCGUGUUUUCUGAAAAGCUUAUUCAAUAUUUAUUUCGCCAUGUUCGGAUAUGUAAUUGGUACUGCGAUGAAGCACGGUUCCAAAAUAUUUUCGGAGCUUUUUUCUACAGUCUGGUGGAAUGUUUACUACUUAGUAAGAUUCUUAAUCGUGACUGGGAUGGCUCAUAUUACCGCAGAACAGGGGAUCAAAACGCGGUACUUGAUUUCAGCCUUGAAUAAUCGGUUUUUGGACGCCAAUACUAAAGAGGAAUUGGCUUUGUUCAUGAAUCAUAUCGCGAAUACCAAGAUUGAAUUCACAGCUUGCGAUUUUUUCACAUUGAAUACUCAUUUAAUAACAUCGGCUAUUGCUGCUGGAACCACUUACUUGGUCAUUCUAGUCCAGUUCCAUUCUGAUAAAGAUGUCUAAUCCUAUAAUCCUGAGAAACUUUCAUCUAUUCAAUACAUGGUUUCGGACAUUUUUUUCUUGGAUCUUGGGUAUUUAUAUGGCAGCAUCAGCCUUUGCAUUGUAUAUUGCAAUAAACGCUUCUAGCUUUCUCGCCAUAUUCUACAGUUUGGAGUUCUUUGUCAGUUUGAGUGCGAGUUUUUUCAUCUUCUGCUUUUUCGGCGAAACAUUUUACGACUUGAACGAUGAAUUGGCGAAUACAAUUUUUUAUGAUACCCAAUGGUACGAGGCAACCGAGGAAAACAGAAGGCUGCUGGUGAUAUUUCAUGCUUUAGCUUGCAGACCUUUCAAUUUGAUGGGAUUUUCGAUUUAUCGAGCCUGCUACGAAACAUUUGGCGACAUGAUGAACUCGACAUGAUAGAUCACCAUCGAAACCGAAUAGCUGUCUUCGAGUCUUCUCCACGAUUUCAACAUUCGCAAUGAUUAUUACCUCCAAGCUGAGCUCGAUUAAUAAAGAUUUUUUUCAGCAUAUUGGUACCUUAGAAUAAGUCACGUUAGUUUAUUGUUUUGUGUUUUCUAUAUAUAAACACGCAUCUAUUCGAAGCGAUAACAUGGC
RNA transcript from Planococcus citri (citrus mealybug), 1946 nucleotides. It is a transcript of the gene named putative gustatory receptor 28b, with no coding region annotated. The record is from RefSeq and is a predicted model, not a curated record. NCBI's taxonomy places the organism in Eukaryota, Metazoa, Arthropoda, Insecta, Hemiptera, Pseudococcidae. The transcript has 9 exons.